This 253-nucleotide ribosomal RNA is filed under the name uncultured bacterium. RNAcentral's name for it is "partial 16S ribosomal RNA". It matches the Rfam family "Bacterial small subunit ribosomal RNA", at positions 524 to 776 of the family's 1533-position model. The record is from RNAcentral.
UACGUAGGGGGCCAGCGUUGUCCGGAAUCAUUGGGCGUAAAGAGCGCGUAGGCGGCCAGAUAAGUCUGGUGUGAAAGUCAAAGGCUCAACCUUUGAAUGCCGCUGGAAACUGUCUGGCUAGAGUCCGGGAGGGGCGAGUGGAAUUCCUGGUGUAGAGGUGAAAUUCGUAGAUAUUCGCAAGAACACCAGUGGCGAAGGCGGCUCACUGGCCCGAUACUGACGCUGAGGCACGAAAGCGUGGGGAGCAAACAGG